Molecule: long non-coding RNA, 446 nt
Filed under: Numida meleagris (helmeted guineafowl)
Lineage: Eukaryota; Metazoa; Chordata; Aves; Galliformes; Numididae
Description: lncRNA (ENSNMEG00000022271.1)
Source: RNAcentral
GUCGCCGCUCGCGCUCCCGUCACGGGGCGGGCGGCUUCGCGGGGCCGCCUCGCUGCGGGACCCGGCUCGGCGCGUCCGGAGGGCGGAGGACAAUUGUAUAUGACUCAUAGAAAUGUCUACGGCAACUCCUGCCUGGAAAUGCGCUUUGGCUUACGCAUCCCUCUUGAUGCAGAGUUCCCCAGCAGCCUUGCAGAACAGUUUGACAGUGAUUACUUUGGUAACACCACUUCCCACGGCCCAAGCAGCUUUGGGCAGCUUGUCUUAGUGUUACCUUUGUGCUCAGUGCUCUUAACAAUUACAGUGUACGUCCCUAACAAUCCCACUUCAGAACAACUUUCCUUCUCUCCUGCUGGAGUGAUUGAAAGGGUGAAGUGAAUAGAAUAGAACAAGGAUUUAUGUUUCUGAAGUUUGUUCAAAAUAAAGUCCUGAAGACAAACUAAAGUGCA